This is a non-coding RNA of Vicia faba (fava bean), 279 nucleotides long. NCBI's taxonomy places the organism in Eukaryota, Viridiplantae, Streptophyta, Magnoliopsida, Fabales, Fabaceae. The record is from the annotation of a GenBank genome assembly.
AUGUCUAGCAGAAGGUCAAGACAACAAUCUUCUUCUUCAAGAAUUUCUGAUGACCAAAUCAUCGAACUUGUUUCUAAGUUGCGUCAACUUGUUCCUGAAAUUCGUCAUAGGCGUUCAGACAAGGUAUCAGCAUCUAAGGUCCUACAAGAGACUUGUAACUACAUAAGAAACUUACACAGAGAAGUUGAUGAUUUAAGUGAAAGAUUGUCUCAGUUAUUGGUUACAAUUGAUGCUGAUAGUCCAGAGGCUAAUAUUAUAAGAAGCUUAAUUAAUCAAUGA